AUGGAGACCGGGGGCAGCGGCGGCGGCGAUGGCGGCGGGAGACGGCCCGGGGACGACCUCCACGGGCUCAACUUCGGCCAGAAGAUCUACUUCGAGCAGGAAGUGGCUGGGUCCUCCUCCUCGGGUGGCAGGAAGGGCAAGGGCCCCGCCCCCGCCCGAGCAGGAGGUGGAGGUGGAGGGUCAGGAGCCUCCACCCCCGUGGCCGGCGGCAACGCCUCGCAGCCGAGGUGCCAGGUGGAGGGGUGCGGCGUGGAUCUGAGCGGCGGCAAGACCUACUACUGCCGCCACAAGGUGUGCUUGGAGCACUCCAAGGCGCCGCUCGUCGUCGUCGCCGGCAUCGAGCAGCGCUUCUGCCAGCAGUGCAGCAGGUUCCACCAGCUACCUGAAUUUGAUCAAGGAAAACGAAGCUGCCGCCGACGCCUCGCCGGUCAUAACGAGCGCCGGAGGAAGCCGCCGCCCGGGCCUAUGUCUACACGCUAUGGCCGGCUUGCUGCGUCCUUCAACGAAGAUCCAGGCAGGCUCAGAAGCUUUCUGCUGGAUUUCUCGUACCCGAGGGCCCCGGCCGGCGUGAGGGACCCGUGGCCGGCCGUUCAGCCCGGCGACCACCGCAUGCCUGGCACCACCCACUGGCAGGGCAGCCAUCAUGAACACCACCCUCACCGCAGUGCAGUUGCGGGAUACGGCGACCACCACGCGUACAACGGCCAGGGGAGCAGCUCGGGGGGAGGCGGCGCGCCGAUGAUCCCGGGCGGCUUCGAGCUCCCCUCGGACGAAUGUAUGGCGGGUGUCGCCGCCGACUCCAGCUGUGCUCUCUCUCUUCUGUCAACUCAGCCAUGGGAUAGUAGUGCCCACAGCUCCAGCCACAACCGGUCCCCGGCGAUGUCGACGACCAGCGCCUUCCAGGGCAGCCCGGUGGCGCCCUCCGUCAUGGCCAGCAACUACAUGGCGGCAAGCAGCAGCGGCUCCUGGGGCAGCCCCCGGGGCGCCAGGAGCAUGCAGCACCACCACCAUCACAUGCAGCAUGACACGGUCAUGAGCGAGGUCCAUCCGAGCUCGGUUCACCACGGCCAGUUCGGCGAGCUCGAGCUCGCGCUGCAGCAGGGAAGGGCCGCGCCGAACCCGCCGCACGCCGAGCACGGGUCCGGCGGGGCCUUCAGCCACUCCAGCAACGCGAUGAACUGGUCUCUGUAG
This 1191-nucleotide ribosomal RNA is filed under the name Triticum aestivum (bread wheat). RNAcentral describes it as "partial small subunit ribosomal RNA". The record is from RNAcentral. Lineage: Eukaryota; Viridiplantae; Streptophyta; Magnoliopsida; Poales; Poaceae.